GUUUUUAUUAUUUUACUGUUUGAGUAAUCGUGGUGUGAUUAGGGUUUCUCAUUUGUUGUUUAUUAGUGGUGUUUUUUUUUCAGAAAUGAAGAAGAAUGGAUGUUGUGGACUAUUAGGUCUAAAUCCAGAACAAUUAGGUUAUUUCAGAGACCAUUUGGACUAAUAUAGGGGUUAUAUCCAAGUCUUAGCUUCAGCUGGUGUCUAACAUGGUUGUAUGGGACUUCAAAUCCAAUGAAAAUCAGGUACGUUGUCGAUGAUUGUUCCGAUAACAACAAUGGCAUAGAGUAGAUGAAGGGGCUCUUGUCAGUUAGACCCGCAAGCACAUAUGAGUUUUGCUGGUUUAAAGACGCACUCCAACUGUUUGAUGAAAUGCUUCAACUAAAAAUUCAAGAUGCAAAUUACCGGCAUAUGCGUUUUUGCGAUGGACAUCAUCUGAAAAUGAAAUUCAUCAAACUAAUUUGCUGUUUUUUGGGGACUUCAAGAAUUAGAAUGGAUAACGGGUAGAUUGAUACUGAUGGUGUCUCUUUAGCAACAUGCUGGACAGGUUUGAUUGAUAUUACAAGUUUUCAUCUUAUUAUAUGUUUACAACUGGAAUAAUAAUUUCCUUGGUGCAACAGGAGGUAGCAUUGUCAUUUGUACUUUACUUUUGUUUAUUUGAUUUAGGGUAAAGGGAUGUUAUUAGAAUCAACUCUAAUGAACAGGUGCUCCCAAAAUGGUCACAAACAGGUUGAGAUUAUUUUUACAUUGUAGCACGCAUCCACCAAAUAUAUACCAUAUUCUGGACAAUAUAUAAUUCAAGGAUAACAUAAGAUAUGGGUCGUGGUGUCCCAUGUAGAGAGUUCAAAAUGUGAAAUAUGCUGGAAUGUUUCACCUCAUGUUGGUUCAUUUUUUUUUAUCACCCGACGCUUUGCAAACGCUGAUGUUAUUGCUGGUCAACCACUUCAUGUUCUUGCAGCUGCAGAAAGUGGAAAGUAAAAUCGUGCAGAAAGUUCGAGGAUAGCGCAUGCUUCUGGUCAAACGGUGGUCGCUUGAUUUUUUAUUUGAAUCGCUUGGUGAAACGUGUGGGCGGAUGUAUUUCCAAAAAUCUUUGCUUUUGAGUCCAACAAAAAUGAAAUUGUGGCUGUGAGAUGUCAAUCGUAGUGUCUCAAUUUGGUUUUGGGAGUGAAAAAGGGAACCAUUGUUGGAUGAAGAGCUGUUAGAGUUUGGUCUUUGUCAAAAUUUAAUUCAAGAGAUCACGCUAUGGGAGUCUACUAACCAGAUUUUGAGGAAGCGGGUUGACCAUUUCGAAAUAUGUUGGCCCUUUGAAUAAUACCAGGUCAAAUGAGACCUACGAAGCUGCAUGAAGCACGGUUUGAGGCCUUGCAACAAGGGAUCUUGAAAGCUUCAAUAUUUGUUUAUGAACAAUUAUGUCAUAAAAGAUGCGUUCAUCAGAAAUCGGUAUUACUGUCCGCUGGCGCACGAAAGAUACUUAUAAGGAUAUCAAAGUGUUGGUUUUAUUUGAAUCAUAGUGUUGACGUUAACACACAUUUUCACGGCCGCGUCGAUAAAGUUUCACCCACACCGAUUUCUCAGUCGUUGAUCGAGCAUUUUAUGCAUAGUCGUCAAUAGCGAAUUGCUGAUGAUGACGAUAAGCUACAUAUACGCUACGUAGCUAUAGUGUUAAAAUAGCGGGCGCCAUAGUUGUUAACGGUGAAUAGCGACAAAUAGCGAUAAGGUACCUACCUAUAUGUUACAUAGCGAAUAAUGAUAAAUAGCGAGCAGUGAUGGUGAUUAACGGUGGGUAUAAGUUCCGGGGGUGGUAGAAGGUGAUUGUGGUGGUGACGGUUGACAAUUAUGGCGGACAAUGGUGGUUUGGUUUUUAGUGGUGCUCGGUGGAGCUAUGGAGAGUAACCGGGGUAGCCGGUGAGGUAUUAACCAGAGACGAGUCAAGUAACGAGUCAACCACUGGUCAACCGCGGUCAAAGCUGGUCAAUAGUGGUUAACAUGUCAGACUCGGUUGGCAUUUGAAUCGGGGAAACUCGGUGAGAAAUUCAAGAACUGGGCAUUCGUGAUGCCAUAUUAUAUUGACGGAAGUAGUAUGUACCCACUUGUAUACGAAUCUUUAUUACCUAAAGUACGUCGUUAGCACCACAAGCACGCCUUUGUCUCUGUUGAAGACAAAUCGAGCGUUAGCUGCACCAGAUAAAAAAAAACCUUUGUCUCUGUUGAAGACAAAUUGAGCGUUAGCCGUACCAGAAAAAAAGAGCUAUGAGUUUCAUCAACUGCUGUUGUAUUAUGUGGGCACAUAAGUAGUUAUCACUCAAUUAGCUAUUGGUGCUCCUCUGCCUACCGUAGGUU
Helianthus annuus (common sunflower) is the source of this 2337-nucleotide long non-coding RNA. RefSeq lists it as uncharacterized. The record is from RefSeq and is a predicted model, not a curated record. The transcript has 13 exons. NCBI's taxonomy places the organism in Eukaryota, Viridiplantae, Streptophyta, Magnoliopsida, Asterales, Asteraceae.